Molecule: unclassified non-coding RNA, 400 nt
Filed under: uncultured fungus
Lineage: Eukaryota; Fungi
Description: sequence contains ITS1
Rfam family: 5.8S ribosomal RNA (bases 1-105)
Source: RNAcentral
AAACUGCGAUAAGUAGCGUGAAUUGCAGACGCUUUGAACGUUAAACUUUCGAACGCACAUUGCGCCGUAGGAGUCCUACCCUACGGCACAUCUGGUUGAGGGUCGUGAUCGUAAACAGCCGCAAAGUUGCUGUAUCUAUAGACUAAUUGGUGAAUCACGAGUCCGGCUGCGUCGCCAAGUCAGUCGGACGUGUUUUGCCAUCAUGCUCUAGAGGAUAGUGCUUAAUCGCGAAAGGUUAGGCUACUACCUACCACACGGAUGGGCUAUCAGCUGAGGCGAUAGAUUCCGACCUUAGGGUAUCAUACUACGUUUUCGUAUAUGCUCUUCGGCGUCUGGAAUACAGCUGGUUGGUUUCGUACGUGCAUGGUGAAAGUAAAUCGCUUUCCCGACCUCAACUCAG